UCAAAGGCCCUCUUUAGGGCCAACACCUGUAAAUUGUUACUUUUAU
Non-coding RNA from Octopus bimaculoides (California two-spot octopus), 46 nucleotides. The record is from Rfam. NCBI's taxonomy places the organism in Eukaryota, Metazoa, Mollusca, Cephalopoda, Octopoda, Octopodidae.